This 967-nucleotide long non-coding RNA is filed under the name Ovis aries (sheep). RNAcentral describes it as "lncRNA (ENSOARG00000027023.1)". Lineage: Eukaryota; Metazoa; Chordata; Mammalia; Artiodactyla; Bovidae. The record is from RNAcentral.
AUAUGGCUGUUUACAGUCAUGCUUUUUAAACUUUUCUCUGUUUGUCAUAUUUCUUAGUAAAAUGUUAGGUAAAUAAAAUAAAUCUGCAUUCUAAAAUAUAUGUAUAAAAGCAAAAAUAAACAAAUGGGAUCUAAUUAAAAUUAAAAGCUUCUGCACAACCAAGGAAACUUUAAGCAAGGUGAAAAGACAGCCUUCUGAAUGGGAGAAAAUAAUCGCAAAUGAAGCAACUGACAAACAACUAAUCUCAAAAAUAUACAAGCAACUUAUGCAACUCAAUUCCAGAAAAAUAAACGACCCAAUCAAAAAAUGGGCCAAAGAACUAAAUAGACAUUUCUCCAAAGAAGACAUACAGAUGGCUAACAAACACAUGAAAAGAUGCUCAACAUCACUCAUUAUUAGAGAAAUGCAAAUCAAAACCACAAUGAGGUACCAUUUCAUGCCAGUCAGAAUGGCUGCUAUCCAAAAGUCUACAAGCAAUAAAUGCUGGAGAGGGUGUGGAGAAAAGGGAACCCUCUUACACUGUUGGUGGGAAUGCAAACUAGUAUAGUCACUAUGGAGAACAGUGUGGAGAUUCCUUAAAAAACUGGAAAUAGAACUGCCAAAUAUUCUUUAUUAUUUAGCAGGAAAUCAACACAAAACAUAUCUAUUUUAGUUAAGUUGAUUUUGCUUUCUCUCAUAUAUAUAUAUGGGAGCAGCAGAAAGGUAAAGAACCCGCCUGCCAAUACACGGUACCCAGGAUGUGGGUUCUAUCCUUGGGUCAAGAAGGUCCCCUGGAGGAGGAAAUGGCCACCCACUCCAGUAUUCUUUUUUUUUUCACUCCAGUAUUCUUGCCUGGAAAAUUCCAUGGACAGAGGAGCCUAGCAGGCUACAGUCCAAAGUGUCACAGAGUCAGAUACAAUUGAGUAACUGAUCACGCAUGCAUACAUGUGUAAAUAUAUAUUUGUAGAUUUAUAUAAACUGUCAUCUU